Molecule: ribosomal RNA, 713 nt
Filed under: uncultured bacterium
Lineage: Bacteria
Description: bacterial SSU rRNA
Rfam family: Bacterial small subunit ribosomal RNA
Source: RNAcentral
AGCAUGAACUUAGCUUGCUAAGUUUGAUGGCGACCGGCGCACGGGUGAGUAACACGUAUCCAACCUGCCGAUGACUCGGGGAUAGCCUUUCGAAAGAAAGAUUAAUACCCGAUGGCAUAGUUCUUCCGCAUGGUAGGACUAUUAAAGAAUUUCGGUCAUCGAUGGGGAUGCGUUCCAUUAGCUUGUUGGCGGGGUAACGGCCCACCAAGGCAUCGAUGGAUAGGGGUUCUGAGAGGAAGGUCCCCCACAUUGGAACUGAGACACGGUCCAAACUCCUACGGGAGGCAGCAGUGAGGAAUAUUGGUCAAUGGGCGCUAGCCUGAACCAGCCAAGUAGCGUGAAGGAUGACUGCCCUAUGGGUUGUAAACUUCUUUUAUAUGGGAAUAAAGUGCAGUAUGUAUACUGCUUUGCAUGUACCUUAUGAAUAAGGAUCGGCUAACUCCGUGCCAGCAGCCGCGGUAAUACGGAGGAUCCGAGCGUUAUCCGGAUUUAUUGGGUUUAAAGGGAGCGUAGGCGGGUUGUUAAGUCAGUUGUGAAAGUUUGCGGCUCAACCGUAAAAUUGCAGUUGAUACUGGCAUCCUUGAGUACAGUAGAGGUAGGCGGAAUUCGUGGUGUAGCGGUGAAAUGCUUAGAUAUCACGAAGAACUCCGAUUGCGAAGGCAGCCUGCUGGACUGUAACUGACGCUGAUGCUCGAAAGUGUGGGUAUCAAACA